Long non-coding RNA from Scylla paramamosain (green mud crab), 1900 nucleotides. RefSeq lists it as uncharacterized. The transcript is spliced from 2 exons. Lineage: Eukaryota; Metazoa; Arthropoda; Malacostraca; Decapoda; Portunidae. The record is from RefSeq and is a predicted model, not a curated record.
UGUAAUUUAAGGCUUCCUAUCAACAGCUACCUGUGUUCAUGAACAAGCCAGGAGUACGUUGAUAGGGUGCUGUCUAUGGUAGUACCGUAUAUUUUGUUAUGAUGAGUCAUUGGUAAACUCGUUUUCCAUCCCCCAAAAGCGAUCGUUCUGGUUGUUUAUAUUUAUGUCGAGUGGGAAAGAAAAAUGUCUAGAGCAGUGUCAUUGAACUGUAGGCCCGCGCGCCAGUCGAUUAAGUGUGGCCCGCGCGCCAGUCGAUUUAGUGUGGCCCGCGUGCACUCAUUCAUUAAUUUUAUAUGAGGAAAAAAAUACUUAAAUGAUAUUCAGCAAAGGUCAAGUGUGUGGAAUAAUAACGAUUAGCUUGUUAUGACAUUGCUGCUACAAUAACAUAUAUCUUGUUUACCGUUGGGGUUUCAUGGCGUAGUGACAGUCUUGGGAACCCAGUGUGUGUGGGAUGCCAGCGGUCAUAUCCCAUACAAAAUACAAUAAAUAAAUAACGUUAUGAAAAUAAUUCACAUCACAAUUCUUUAAUACAUACUGGCGUGAACAUAAGGUGGUUAAAUAGAGCAACUUUACAAAAAAGAUGGGGAAGAUGGGGAAAUAGACCAACUUUAAAAAAAAGAAAAAGGGCCCUCGUGGCCCAGUGGGUAGAGUGAUGCACUUUGAGUUUGGCGUGAGGGAAGUGAGGGGCGCGUAGGUUCGAACCCCCCUCUCGGAACUCACAAAAACCUUGAAAGAGCAUCCCUCCAUCACCAUGUGUGAUGGAACUGCCCACGGGGAGGAGGGGAGGUGAGUGCACAGCGCUUCCCUUCUCUCCCCUACCUAACCCUGGCAAGUCUACGGACUACCAGGCAAAAAAUAAUAAAAAAAAAUAAAUAAAUAAAAAACAAAAAAUAAAAAAUAAAAAAUAAAUAAAUAAAGGUAAGUGCAUAGCACUUCUCUUCUCUCCACCUAACAGAAUAAAAAAUAUAAAGGUGAGUGCAUAGCACUUCCCUUCUCUUCCAACCUACCAGGCAAAAGAUAGAAAAAAAAAUAAAUAAAGAAUUAAGGUGAGUGCAUAGCACUUCCCUUGUCUCCGGCAAAAGAUAGAAAAGAAAAAAUAGUCUCCUAACCUACCACGCAAAAAAAAAAAUAAAUAAAUAAAUAAAAUAAAAUAAAUAAAUAAAUAAAGAUAAAUAAAUAAAUAAAUAAAAAUAAAUAAAAACCUCCUUACCACCUCGGACCUCGGGAGAGCAAGGGAGGUGAGUGCACAGCACUUCCCUUCUCUCCCCAAGUCUACGGACUGCCAGACUAAAAAAAAAAAAUAUAUAUAGGUAUAAAAAAAAUAAUAAAUAAUAGAAUAAGUAAAAAAAAAAAAAGUAAAUAAAACAAUAACAAUAAAAAUCCUACUCCCCUUUCAAUAAAACUGACUGAGUCUGGCAAUCAACAAUAAAUAAUAAAAAUAAAACAAUACCAACUGACUGACCCUGACAACUAAAAAAAUAAAAUAUAUAUAGGUAUAAAAAAAAUAAUAAUAGAAUAAGUAAAAAAAAAAAAAGUAAAUAAAACAAUAACAAUAAAAAUCCUACUCCCCUUUCAAUAAAACUGACUGAGUCUGGCAAUCAACAAUAAAUAAUAAAAAUAAAACAAUACCAACUGACUGACCCUGACAACCCCAAAGACCACCACCCACCUGGGAAGCACGGGAGGUGAGUGUGCAGCACCUCCCUACCCUUCCCAGUCUCCCAGUUUGACUUUGACCACCAAUCUGACUCAUCCUACCAACUCCAAAGGGCAACUCCAACUGUACAGACCACCAGCACCACCACCCUUCUGAUCUCGGCAAGGUGAGUGCGUAGCACUUCCCUGGACUGACCCUGACUGACUGACCCUGGCAACUCCAAAAACAACCAACCUGACUGAC